GGCGGACGGGUGAGUAAUGCGUAGGAAUUUACCUCAAAGCGGGGGAUAGCCCGGAGAAAUCCGGAUUAAUACCGCAUGUGCUCUACGGAGUAAAGCGGGCCUCUUCUUGAAAGCUCGCACUUUGAGAUAAGCCUACGUCGGAUUAGCUUGUUGGUAGGGUAAAAGCCUACCAAGGCGACGAUCCGUAGCUGGUUUGAGAGAAUGAUCAGCCACACUGGGACUGAGACACGGCCCAG
RNAcentral lists this ribosomal RNA (236 nucleotides) under uncultured bacterium. RNAcentral's name for it is "partial 16S ribosomal RNA". It matches the Rfam family "Bacterial small subunit ribosomal RNA", at positions 97 to 334 of the family's 1533-position model. The record is from RNAcentral.